Long non-coding RNA from Strongylocentrotus purpuratus (purple sea urchin), 578 nucleotides. RefSeq lists it as uncharacterized. The record is from RefSeq and is a predicted model, not a curated record. The transcript has 3 exons. Lineage: Eukaryota; Metazoa; Echinodermata; Echinoidea; Camarodonta; Strongylocentrotidae.
AGUUAUUCAAUUACGAACAAUGAAACAUUUUUCUUUUAAGUGAAUUUCUAUUAUAAUAGAAGUUUGUCAAGUACAUCUCAGUGAAGCAGAAAAUCUUCAGGCAAACAUUGGCAUCGAAGUGAUACCCUAUGAUAUCAAGAAAAAUCCUAUGGAACAGAAGCAGAUAAUGAUCACAGAAGUGCAACAAAGAGCACCAGGACCUGAUCAUCAAAUGUUAUGGUGUAGAUCUAAUCAAGAACAAGGACACCUAAGUUGAACUCUGGCAAGGUUGUCCCUUGCAGAAGGUUUGAUACCCAGGCUUCUUUUGUACAAGUCCCUAGUCCACCCUCAUCUUGAGAACUGUUCCUGUGUCUGGGAUCCCUACAACAUCUCAGAUGUCCAGGACGCUACUUCACAAUGGGGACCACAAGUGAACCAGCAGUUUGACUGAGAUGAUCAGCACCUUUAGUUGCCUACUAUAUCUACAACUACAAGGCACUCUGCAAGAAGACUGGGAAUGGUGCACAAGAUAGUCGAUGGUCUCUCCGCUCUCCCUUGAAAAUUUUCCCACUGCACUACUUAUAGCUACUUGCGCCCUC